This 465-nucleotide ribosomal RNA is filed under the name Vreelandella stevensii. RNAcentral's name for it is "partial 16S ribosomal RNA". It matches the Rfam family "Bacterial small subunit ribosomal RNA", at positions 338 to 795 of the family's 1533-position model. Lineage: Bacteria; Pseudomonadati; Pseudomonadota; Gammaproteobacteria; Oceanospirillales; Halomonadaceae. The record is from RNAcentral.
CCUACGGGGGGCUGCAGUGGGGAAUAUUGGACAAUGGGGGCAACCCUGAUCCAGCCAUGCCGCGUGUGUGAAGAAGGCCCUCGGGUGGUAAAGCACUUUCAGUGAGGAAGAACGCCUGGUGGUUAAUACCCAUCAGGAAAGACAUCACCCACAGAAGAAGCACCGGCUAACUCCGUGCCAGCAGCCGCGGUAAUACGGAGGGUGCGAGCGUUAAUCGGAAUUACUGGGCGUAAAGCGCGCGUAGGUGGCUUGAUAAGCCGGUUGUGAAAGCCCCGGGCUCAACCUGGGAACGGCAUCCGGAACUGUCAAGCUAGAGUGCAGGAGAGGAAGGUAGAAUUCCCGGUGUAGCGGUGAAAUGCGUAGAGAUCGGGAGGAAUACCAGUGGCGAAGGCGGCCUUCUGGACUGACACUGACACUGAGGUGCGAAAGCGUGGGUAGCAAACAGGAUUAGAUACCCUGGUAGUC